ACAAUAUUGUCUCCAUGCAUGAUAUAAUAACAGUUAACCGAACAAAAACAUGGAAGAAAAAAGAAUUGAAGUAUAAACAUAAGAAAGAUGCGAAGGUCGAAGGUUAUAAUGGUUAGGCAAAAGUGAGAGCUGAUUGGCAGAAUCAUAAAAGAUAACGGUAAAGAAGGGAUGGCGAAGAGAAAAGAAAAAGAGGGCAUCGAAUGGUUGGAAGAAAAAGAAGUGGGGGUAGAAUGGUGGACACAGAGGGGUAGAGUCAAUCUUUACUUUACUCAAUCUCGGGAAUAUGCGACAAGCAAGGUUCGAAGAUGUUACGAUAUUCUACCCUUAAAGACGAAGGGUGCCUCUCAAACAGUUUAACGUAAAGAAAAAUUGCCAUGAUCUUCAACAAAAUUUUUUAUGAAGCCGAUACAACGAACAAACUACAACACUUUGGUAUUUCAUAAAUGAUGACACCCGAAAGAAGAAAGGAUUCGUAUGAAGGAAGAAAGCACAUGAAAGCGCAACGGAAUGGAAGCGGAGACCCGGCCACUGCGGCAAAACUGCGGAGCGGCGGCUCGGGUUUAUUCAUGCUCGCAAAAUAUUUCGUGCGAGCCCAGCGCCUGCGGUUUUCCCUGGAUUAUGCAGCGAGGACACUGUACCGACUAAAACUGUCCGGCUAUCAAAACUUGCCUCUCAACGCCGUGUUUCGACACUAACGCACUUGGCACCUACUUGAUCGGAUCCAUUUGUACGCGGAACGAUUGACGAGAAUAUUUGUUACGAGUGCACGGUCUACAAAGGAAGAGAAGAAUGAAAAAGAAGACAAAGAAAAGUAAAAUAAAGAAGAAUACAAUUUGGAAUUUCCAUCACGUCAGCUUCGCACGAACAAAGCCUCCCGUUCGAUUAAGGUCUUUCACCAAACAUCGUUAGCUCAAUGACGCGUCUGUUUUUAACUCUCUACCUUCUGAAUCACGGUAUUAAUUUUGAAACUUAAAGACAUUAUCGUUACCAAUUUUUUAACUCACAUUUGAAAUAGUGAUGUAGUAAAAUGAAUAUUGCGAUAGUGCUUCAGACAGUUAUAAUUUGUAAUAUCUUGAUAUUAUAAAUGUGGAAUAUUGAAGCUACUGAAUUUACGAAAGUAUGAUAAUCAAAGUCGAAGCGCUCGACUUCAAAACGAAGCGCAAAGGUGUGUACAAAAAUUAUAAGUGCUCUAUCGUCUAUUCUACCAAUGCAAAUUGAAUAGCUUAUUGAUGUAAUAUACCUAAGUUAUUCUGGUACGCCAGAUUCUAGAGUGCAGUUUAGAUAACAUUGAUAUAGUAAAUGAUGGAGUAGAAUUUAGGUUAGACAGAUGCAGCAAACGAUAAAAUAUAAUUUAGAUCCGAAAUAACAUUGCUAAGUGACACUACCGUUAACAGAAAAUGUCUAUUUUCUUAUCGUUCAUGUUACUGAUAAAGAAUCGAAGCGUAGAGCGCAUCGACAGAGCAUAACUUCGGUUACAUAGAGCAUAACCUAGAUUACAUUAGUGGAGUAAGUGAUAGAGGUAGAAUAUGUAUAACCUAGAUUGAAUUAGUAUAGGAAGGGGCAGAGCAUACCUUGUGUACCGGUAGAGUAUACUAGCGCUAGUAGAAACAAUCCACUUACCGCACUCGUCUAAACUACGAACAACUUGAUAGAGCACUAAAACUAACAAAACUGGUACAGGGGGUGUAUAGGCAAACUACUAUCGCAGUAUACUCCACUAGCGUAAACUAGGUUUUAUUGUCGUGUCGCUAACAAAUAAAACUAAAAACGCCCCCUCCAUUUCCUUUCUUCUCCUCAACGUACUACCAUUAAAUGACAAGCAGACAAAUCAGAGAUCAAAGUUACUGAAUGAAGAAAACAACCCUCAACUGAAUAAAUAGCGAUGCAGAAGUUCCUUCGAGCAAAUAUUUGCUGUUGUAAAAUCGUUCCGUGUUCACAGCUUUAUAAUUACAGUUUACACGCGGUGCGUUAACAAAAUGGCACCGACAUCAAA
RNAcentral lists this long non-coding RNA (1993 nucleotides) under Megachile rotundata (alfalfa leafcutting bee). Its description in RNAcentral is "uncharacterized LOC105664360". The record is from RNAcentral. Lineage: Eukaryota; Metazoa; Arthropoda; Insecta; Hymenoptera; Megachilidae.